AGUGAACGCUGGCGGUAGGCCUAACACAUGCAAGUCGAACGGCAGCACAGUAAGAGCUUGCUCUUACGAGUGGCGAGUGGCGGACGGGUGAGGAAUACAUCGGAAUCUACUUUUUCGUGGGGGAUAACGUAGGGAAACUUACGCUAAUACCGCAUACGAGCUACGGGUGAAAGCAGGGGAUCUUCGGACCUUGCGCGAUUGAAUGAGCCGAUGUCGGAUUAGCUAGUUGGCGGGGUAAAGGCCCACCAAGGCGACGAUCCGUAGCUGGUCUGAGAGGAUGAUCAGCCACACUGGAACUGAGACACGGUCCAGACUCCUACGGGAGGCAGCAGUGGGGAAUAUUGGACAAAGGGCGCAAGCCUGAUCCAGCCAUACCGCGUGGGUGAAGAAGGCCUUCGGGUUGUAAAGCCCUUUUGUUGGGAAAGAAAAGCAGCAGGUUAAUACCCCGCUGUUCUGACGGUACCCAAAGAAUAAGCACCGGCUAACUUCGUG
This 492-nucleotide ribosomal RNA is filed under the name uncultured bacterium. Its description in RNAcentral is "partial 16S ribosomal RNA". It matches the Rfam family "Bacterial small subunit ribosomal RNA", at positions 29 to 507 of the family's 1533-position model. The record is from RNAcentral.